CACUCUUAGGGGUUAACCUUUUACACUUUGCAUAUUCUCCAUACUGUUCUCUAUAGAUUUUCUGAGGUGCUAACAAGGAGAAUUUGCUUUAUAAUCAAGAGCUCUGGUACUUGUUGAUCAUUUCUGUUAUUCUUGUGACCUUAAUAUAUGAUUUAGGGAUGAUACUGUAAGGAGAAAUUAGAUGCUGGUCGCUCUUAAGGGAUUAAUGGUUUUGACAUAAAGGCUAAUCUGCUCUUUCUUUUUGUUUCCACAGUAUCACCUUCACCAAGUUCACCACAUCCGGGAGCAUCAUCACGUAAGACUGUUGAUUUUUUUUCUUCAUUUUUAAAGCCCAAAGGAAGCAAAGAGAGAAUGUGCCUCAGAACGAGAUUUUAAUGAAAGUGGAAUUGGCUCAGACAAUUUAACCUUCUCUGUGGCCUUACUUAAAGCUCUCAAGUCCUGCACAUUGAGCACGAGACCUACCCAAACACAUUCAGUCUUAAGUUGAACCAAUUAUUUCAUGCAUUUAAAGUUUCUGAUUAAGUUGUUGAUAUUGAGUGAGCCAAUUGCUGCUUUAGGGAAGUUCUCCUAAAAUUAAUUUUCCUUAUAAAUGUAUUGUACUCCUUGGUUUAUAAAGGAACUUACUCAGAAUAAAGGAGUGCAUGUCCUAACCCUUUAACUCCCAGAUCAAAUUUGUAAUUCUCCUUACUGUCAACCAUACAAUUCUUAUAAUGUUAGUUCAGAGAAUUUAGUAUUGAAUCAACUAAUUAUCCCCAAAUUGAUAUUUUUCUUAAUUCUCAUCACUUACCUGGUUGAUAUUGUAUUGAUAUUGUGAGGAGAAAUUUUGUCUUAGUCACUCAUGGGAGUUGAAGGGUUAACUACUUAAUUUUUUUCACAAUUUUUGGGCAGAGCACAGUUGGUCUUCCUGCCCAUUUCCUAAGGUUCAGCCUUCAAUUAAGUUACUAACACCAGUGUAUUUCUUUUCUUCUGUCCCCUUUUUUUAUUUUUUCAUCUCUGCAGCUGCUCCAUGUAAGUUGGAUUUCGUACUACUGUCAAACUUGUAUUUAGCUUCACUGCAUUAAGUGUUCAUCCUGUGUUAAUUGGUCAGUUUUCAAAGUACUGAGAUUUUUUCUGUUCAAUAACUGUAAUUUUCACCUUAAUAAAGUGGUUGUGGUCAAUGUGA
Molecule: long non-coding RNA, 1162 nt
Organism: Pocillopora damicornis (cauliflower coral)
Lineage: Eukaryota; Metazoa; Cnidaria; Anthozoa; Scleractinia; Pocilloporidae
Source: RefSeq, a predicted model, not a curated record